UGGGUGUCAAGAACUCAAGAGCCUGCCGAGCAGCAUUCAUAUGAGAUCUCUUCAAACCCUUAAUCUUUCUGGUUGCUCAAACCUUGAGAAGUUUCCUGAGAUUUCAGAUGUUAUGGAGAAGCUAUCAGAGUUAUAUUUAGGUGGGACUGCAAUUAAAGAACUGUCUUCGUCAAUUAAUAAACUCACGGGUCUUCCUGCUUUGGACCUACGUGGCUGUCAAGAACUCAAGAGCCUGCCGAGGAGCAUUCAUAUGAGAUCUCUUCAAACCCUUAAUCUUUCUGGUUGCUCAAACCUUGAGAAGUUUCCUGAGAUUUCAGAUGUUAUGGAGAAGUUAUCAGAGUUAUAUUUAGGUGGGACUGCAAUUAAAGAACUGUCUUCAUCAAUUAAUAAACUCACGGGCCUUGCUACUUUGGACCUACGAGGCUGUCGAGAACUCAAGAGCCUGCCGAGCAGCAUUCAUAUGGGAUCUCUUCAAACCCUUAAUCUUUCUGGUUGCUCAAACCUUGGGAAGUUUACAGAAAUUUCAGAUGUUAUGGAGAAGCUAUCAGAGUUAUAUUUAGCUGGGACUGCAAUUAAAGAACUGUCUUCGUCAAUUAAUAAACUCACGGGCCUUACUGUUUUGGACCUAUCUGGGUGUCAAGAACUCAAGAGCCUGCCGAGCAGCAUUCAUAUGAGAUCUCUUCAAACCCUUAAUCUUUCUGGUUGCUCAAACCUUGAGAAGUUUCCAGAGAUUUCAGAUGUUAUGGAGAAGCUAUCAGAGUUAUAUUUAGAUGGGACUGCAAUUAAAGAACUGCCUUCGUCAAUUAAUAAACUCACGGGCCUUACUGUUUUGGACCUAUAUGGGUGUCAAGAACUCAAGAGCUUGCCGAGCAGCAUUCGUGUGGGAUCUCUUCAUACCCUUUUUCUUUCAGGCUGCUCAAAACUUGAGAAGUUUCAUGAGAUUUCAGAUGUUGUGGAGGAGCUAUCAGAGCUUCAUUUAGAUGGGACUGCAAUUAAAGAAUUGCCUUCGUCAAUUAAUAAACUCACAGGUCUUCUUACUUUGGACCUACGAGGCUGUCGAGAACUCAAGAGCCUGCCGAGCAGCAUUCAUAUGGGAUCUCUUCAAACUCUUAAUCUUUCUGGUUGCUCAAACCUUG
Molecule: long non-coding RNA, 1136 nt
Filed under: Malus domestica (apple)
Lineage: Eukaryota; Viridiplantae; Streptophyta; Magnoliopsida; Rosales; Rosaceae
Description: long non-coding RNA (MDOM_LNC001160)
Source: RNAcentral